AGUGAACGCUGGCGGUAGGCCUAACACAUGCAAGUCGAACGGCAGCACAGUAAGAGCUUGCUCUUACGGGUGGCGAGUGGCGGACGGGUGAGGAAUACAUCGGAAUCUACUUUUUCGUGGGGGAUAACGUAGGGAAACUUACGCUAAUACCGCAUACGACCUACGGGUGAAAGCAGGGGAUCUUCGGACCUUGCGCGAUUGAAUGAGCCGAUGUCGGAUUAGCUAGUUGGCGGGGUAAAGGCCCACCAAGGCGACGAUCCGUAGCUGGUCUGAGAGGAUGAUCGGCCACCCUGGAACUGAGCCACGGUCCAGCCUCCUACGGGAGGCAGCAGUGGGGAAUAUUGGACAAUGGGCGCAAGCCUGAUCCAGCCAUCCCGCGUGGGUGAAGAAGGCCUUCGGGUUGUAAAGCCCUUUUGUUGGGAAAGAAAAGCAGCAGGUUAAUACCCCGCUGUUCUGACGGUACCCAAAGAAUAAGCACCGGCUAACUUCGUG
Molecule: ribosomal RNA, 492 nt
Filed under: uncultured bacterium
Lineage: Bacteria
Description: partial 16S ribosomal RNA
Rfam family: Bacterial small subunit ribosomal RNA
Source: RNAcentral